CCCUACGGGGGGCAGCAAUCAGGAAUAUUGCGCAAUGGGCGAAAGCCUGACGCAGCGACGCCGCGUGCGGGACGAAGGCCUUCGGGUCGUAAACCGCUGUUGUGGGAGACGAGGGAGCGUUGAUGAGGCGCUCGGGACGGUAUCCCACGAGGAAGCCCCGGCUAACUACGUGCCAGCAGCCGCGGUAAUACGUAGGGGGCGAGCGUUGUCCGAAGUUACUGGGCGUAAAGCGCGCGUAGGCGGCCUUUUAAGUGACUGGUGAAAUCCCCGGGCUCAACUCGGGAGGGUCUGGUCAUACUGGGAGGCUCGAGUGUGGGAGAGGAGAGCGGAACUCCUGGUGUAGCGGUGAUAUGCGUAGAGAUCAGGAAGAACACCCGUGGCGAAGGCGGCUCUCUGGACCACAACUGACGCUGAGGCGCGAAAGCCAGGGGAGCGAACGGGAUUAGAUACCCCAGUA
This 457-nucleotide ribosomal RNA is filed under the name uncultured bacterium. RNAcentral's name for it is "bacterial SSU rRNA". It matches the Rfam family "Bacterial small subunit ribosomal RNA", at positions 337 to 792 of the family's 1533-position model. The record is from RNAcentral.